RNAcentral lists this ribosomal RNA (253 nucleotides) under uncultured bacterium. RNAcentral describes it as "partial 16S ribosomal RNA". It matches the Rfam family "Bacterial small subunit ribosomal RNA", at positions 524 to 776 of the family's 1533-position model. The record is from RNAcentral.
UACGGAGGGGGCUAGCGUUGUUCGGAUUUACUGGGCGUAAAGCGCACGUAGGCGGAUUGUUAAGUCAGGGGUGAAAUCCUGGAGCUCAACUCCAGAACUGCCUUUGAUACUGGCAAUCUUGAGUCCGGAAGAGGUGAGUGGAACUCCUAGUGUAGAGGUGGAAUUCGUAGAUAUUAGGAAGAACACCAGUGGCGAAGGCGGCUCACUGGUCCGGUACUGACGCUGAGGUGCGAAAGCGUGGGGAGCAAACAGG